Molecule: unclassified non-coding RNA, 966 nt
Filed under: uncultured fungus
Lineage: Eukaryota; Fungi
Description: sequence contains 18S rRNA gene, ITS1, 5.8S rRNA gene, ITS2, 28S rRNA gene
Rfam family: Eukaryotic large subunit ribosomal RNA
Source: RNAcentral
AGAUGGAUCAUUCACAAUACUUAUUUUAGUUGUUGGUAAAAAAAAAUCUUUUCUUUGCAAAGGGUUAAAAUUUUUUUUUCACUUGAUACACGAAUAUAAUGAAGUUGGUUUAAAGGAAAUAGCUCAAACUGGAAAUCGAUAGUUUACUAUCGAAUUGUAGUCUCAUGAAAUGCAGCCUGUGAAUGUUCUGAAUUAAGUCUCUUGGAAAGAGUACCGAGGAGGGUGAAAGUCCCGUCUUUAUUCAGCAAUAUUUACUGUCGGUGCGUUUUCAAAGAGUCGUGCUCCUUGAGAUUGGAGCGCUAAGUGGGUGAUAAAUUUCAUCUAAAGCUAAAUAUUAACGAGAUUCCGAUAGCAUACAAGUACCGUGAGGGAACGAUGAAAAGAACUUUGAAAAGAGAGUUAAAAGGUACUGAAAUUGCUGAAAAGGAAGUGGAGAGUUUCAAUGGUUUAGUGAAAUUUCUCAUGUGCUCUGGGUACUCUUACUCAUGCGCAUGUGAAGGAAUUUUGCAAUGACUCUGGAAGUGAUUAUUCCAAGUGUUAAGGCAUUAAAUGAUAUGGUUCUAUUUUAGGACCAUGUCACUUAGUGUUUUAAUACGCCGAAUGAUUUAUGUAAUUCUAGUUUAAUUGUUUAUGAUUAGACUAUACUUUUCCAGAUAUAUUGAUUCUCUCCUUCCCGUCUUGAAACACGGACCAAGGAGUCUAUUUCGCGUGCAAGUACAAGGGUUGAAAACCUACGUGCGAAAUUAAAGUAAUAGUCAAGAUGGUUUUGCCUGCAUUGACACUCGGUUAUCAAACCGAAGUUGAGCACACGGAAUAGGACCCGAAAGAUGGUGAACUAUGCCUGAGUAGGGUGAAGCUAGAGGAAACUCUGGUGGAAGCUCGUAGCGAUACUGACGUGCAAAUCGUUCGUCAAACUUUGGUAUAGGGGCGAAAGACCAAUCGAACCAUCUAGUAGCUGGUUCCCUC